GUGAAGACCAAGCUUGUCUGGAGCAGUAGAAAGUCAAGGAGAUGCGGUGGAGAACUGGAAUCAAACCCAGGGCUUCAUGCAUCUUAGUAAAUACUCUGCCAGCUGAGCUACAUCCCCAGCACUUGGAGAAGACUUUUGGCUCUGCAAAGAAUUAUGCUUUUGAUAUAAGUAGCCGUUGGUUCAGCAGACAGUAACAAGGGAAAGGGCUAUGGCCUUGGAUGCCACUGGGUCCAGUUCUACAGCCUCAAUAAUUCAAGGCCUUCAAGACGGCAUAGCCAGUGGAGAAACCCAGGAGAUGACGGAGAAAUAAAGGAAGGCAGCAGCAAUCCUCUCCACCCUCUCCCCUUCCCAACGGGCUGCCUGGAAGAUGCUCCGGUCCAAAUGGGAAAUGGGAGCUAAAAUAGCACAAUAAAGGAAAGGAAGUGCUCA
Arvicola amphibius (Eurasian water vole) is the source of this 429-nucleotide long non-coding RNA. RefSeq lists it as uncharacterized. NCBI's taxonomy places the organism in Eukaryota, Metazoa, Chordata, Mammalia, Rodentia, Cricetidae. The record is from RefSeq and is a predicted model, not a curated record. The transcript has 3 exons.